UACGUAGGGGGCGAGCGUUGUCCGGAAUCAUUGGGCGUAAAGCGCGUGUAGGCGGUUCGGUAAGUCUGCUGUGAAAGUCCAGGGCUCAACCCUGGGAUGCCGGUGGAUACUGCCGAACUAGAGUGCGGAAGAGGCGAGUGGAAUUCCUGGUGUAGCGGUGAAAUGCGCAGAUAUCAGGAGGAACACCAAUGGCGAAGGCAGCUCGCUGGGACGGUACUGACGCUGAGACGCGAAAGCGUGGGGAGCAAACAGG
Molecule: ribosomal RNA, 253 nt
Filed under: uncultured bacterium
Lineage: Bacteria
Description: partial 16S ribosomal RNA
Rfam family: Bacterial small subunit ribosomal RNA
Source: RNAcentral